RNAcentral lists this ribosomal RNA (497 nucleotides) under uncultured bacterium. RNAcentral's name for it is "partial 16S ribosomal RNA". It matches the Rfam family "Bacterial small subunit ribosomal RNA", at positions 28 to 507 of the family's 1533-position model. The record is from RNAcentral.
GAUGAACGCUGGCGGCGUGCCUAAUACAUGCAAGUCGAGCGAACAGACGAGGAGCUUGCUCCUCUGACGUUAGCGGCGGACGGGUGAGUAACACGUGUAUAACCUACCUAUAAGACUGGUAUAACUUCGGGAAACCGGAGCUAAUACCGGAUAAUAUAUUGAACCGCAGGGUGCAAUAGUGAAAGACGGCUGUGCUGGCACGUAUAGAUGGAUCCGCGCCUCAUUAGCUAGUUGGGACGGUAACGGCUUAUCAAGGCAACGAUGCGUAGGCGACCUGAGAGGGUGAUAGGCCACACUGGAACUGAGACACGGUCCAGACUCCUACGGGAGGCAGCAGUAGGGAAUCUUCCGCAAUGGGCGAAAGCCUGACGGAGCAACGCCGAGUGAGUGACGAAGGUCUUCGGAUCGUAAAACUCGGUUAUUAGGGAAGAACAAAUGUGUAAGUAAAUAUGCACGUAUUGACGGUAACUAAUCAGAAAGCAACGGCUAACUACGUG